GUCUGUGAUGCCAUUAGAUGUUCUGGGCCGCGCGCUACACUGAUGUAUUCAACGAGUCUAUAGCCUUGGCCGACAGGCCCGGGUAAUCUUUGAAAUUUCAUCGUGAUGGGGAUAGAUCAUUGCAAUUGUUGGUCUUCAACGAGGAAUUCCUAGUAAGCGCGAG
Molecule: long non-coding RNA, 163 nt
Organism: Gossypium raimondii (Peruvian cotton)
Lineage: Eukaryota; Viridiplantae; Streptophyta; Magnoliopsida; Malvales; Malvaceae
Exons: 2
Source: RefSeq, a predicted model, not a curated record